This 450-nucleotide ribosomal RNA is filed under the name uncultured bacterium. RNAcentral's name for it is "bacterial SSU rRNA". It matches the Rfam family "Bacterial small subunit ribosomal RNA", at positions 355 to 796 of the family's 1533-position model. The record is from RNAcentral.
UGGGGAAUCUUGCGCAAUGGACGAAAGUCUGACGCAGCCACGCCGCGUGAGUGAAGAAGGCCUUCGGGUUGUAAAGCUCUGUCGCCCGGGACGAACAGCCCAUCGGUUAAUAGCCGAUGGGUUUGACGGUACCGGGAGAGGAAGCACCGGCUAACUUCGUGCCAGCAGCCGCGGUAAUACGAGGGGUGCAAGCGUUGCUCGGAAUUAUUGGGCGUAAAGGGUAGGUAGGUGGUCUCAUUUGUCUGGGGUGAAAGCCUCGAGCUUAACUCGAGAAGUGCCCUAGAAACGGUGAGACUGGAGUCCUGGAGAGGGUCGUGGAAUUCCCGGUGUAGCGGUGAAAUGCGUAGAGAUCGGGAGGAACACCAGAGGCGAAGGCGGCGACCUGGACAGGUACUGACACUCAACUACGAAAGCGUGGGGAGCAAACAGGAUUAGAUACCCCCGUAGUCC